Molecule: small RNA, 145 nt
Filed under: Aliirhizobium cellulosilyticum
Lineage: Bacteria; Pseudomonadati; Pseudomonadota; Alphaproteobacteria; Hyphomicrobiales; Rhizobiaceae
Description: Rhizobium cellulosilyticum Alphaproteobacterial sRNA ar35
Rfam family: Alphaproteobacterial sRNA ar35
Source: Rfam by way of RNAcentral
AUGACCUCUCGAAGGCUCCGAAGUUCGAUUACGACAAGAUGAAGAAGUAAAAGGUCUAGCACUGCCCGGCGACCACGGAUGUAAUGGCGCUGGGCUGCAUUCGAGAAGAAGGUCGGUGCGUAAACUCGUACCGGCCUUUUUGUUU